RNAcentral lists this ribosomal RNA (422 nucleotides) under uncultured bacterium. RNAcentral describes it as "bacterial SSU rRNA". It matches the Rfam family "Bacterial small subunit ribosomal RNA", at positions 355 to 774 of the family's 1533-position model. The record is from RNAcentral.
UAAGGAAUAUUGGUCAAUGGACGCAAGUCUGAACCAGCCAUGCCGCGUGGAGGAUUAAGGCCCUCUGGGUUGUAAACUCCUUUUAUCUGGGAAGAAAUGUACUUUUUCUUGAGUACUUGACGGUACCAGAGGAAUAAGCACCGGCUAACUCCGUGCCAGCAGCCGCGGUAAUCCGGAGGGUGCAAGCGUUAUCCGGAUUCACUGGGUUUAAAGGGUGCGUAGGUGGGCAGGUAAGUCAGUGGUGAAAUCUCCGGGCUUAACCCGGAAACUGCCGUUGAUACUAUUUGUCUUGAAUAUUGUGGAGGUAAGCGGAAUAUGUCAUGUAGCGGUGAAAUGCUUAGAUAUGACAUAGAACACCAAUUGCGAAGGCAGCUUACUACACAAUCAUUGACGCUGAGGCACGAAAGCGUGGGGAUCAAACA